Molecule: ribosomal RNA, 507 nt
Filed under: uncultured Glomeromycotina
Lineage: Eukaryota; Fungi; Glomeromycota
Description: SSU rRNA
Rfam family: Eukaryotic small subunit ribosomal RNA
Source: RNAcentral
AGCAGCCGCGGUAAUUCCAGCUCCAAUAGCGUAUAUUAAAGUUGUUGCAGUUAAAAAGCUCGUAGUUGAAUUUCGGGGUUAGUAGGUUGGUCAUGCCUCUGGUAUGUACUGGUCUCACUGAUUCCUCCUUCCUGAUGAGCCGUAAUGCCAUUAAUUUGGUGUUGCGGGGAAUUUGGACUGUUACUUUGAAAAAAUUAGAGUGUUUAAAGCAAGCUGACGCUUGAAUACAUUAGCAUGGAAUAAUGAAAUAGGACGUUCGAUCCUAUUUUGUUGGUUUCUAGGAUUGACGUAAUGAUUAAUAGGGAUAGUUGGGGGCAUUAGUAUUCAAUUGUCAGAGGUGAAAUUCUUGGAUUUAUUGAAGACUAACUACUGCGAAAGCAUUUGCCAAGGAUGUUUUCAUUAAUCAAGAACGAAAGUUAGGGGAUCGAAGACGAUCAGAUACCGUCGUAGUCUUAACCAUAAACUAUGCCGACUAGGGAUCGGAUGAUGUUAAUUUUUUAAUGACUC